Molecule: long non-coding RNA, 2561 nt
Filed under: Homo sapiens (human)
Lineage: Eukaryota; Metazoa; Chordata; Mammalia; Primates; Hominidae
Description: HSALNT0001742
Source: RNAcentral
UCACACCUACCAGUGUGACAUUUUGCACCCGAGCCCUCAACCAUUUUCUGGGAUUCAGUUUAAUUCAUGAGUUCAUUCAAUACAGAGUCUGAGAUGUUAGUGGAGUUCACCGUGUAACCCUUCCCUUUUUCAUGAGGAUUUGGUCAGCAGCACCCAAGACACAUGUCCCAAUCACUGAAAAUCUCAUCGUUGCAGAGAAAUGACAAGAGGUGCUCAGGACUCACGGUUUGAGCCACCUGGAUAGGGCUCGCUUCUCCUCCGUCAGCCCACGAUGCACUUGCUUUGCUCAUGGGGCUUGGGCUGACUGUGGUUCUUCAUUCCCCGUCGAGCCAGGUCCCCUGUCUUUCUGGGCCUCGAUUUUCUCUCUGUUGCAAUUGAGUUGGAACAUGUGGAGGUGAAAGGCAGCCAGGUGCUUGGUGAAUCCCAAGCACAGUGUCCACACUCAGCCAUCAGCUUGUCCCGAAGCCAGCUCCUCCCUGAGCCCAUGGGGCAGCAUUUCUCCCUUGCAAUUAAUUCUUGCUCCAAUUUAAACCCUUCCCAGGGAAUGCUGAGCAGGUGCCCUAGGAAUGAAUGAGUCCCAGGAAGGAAGGGAGCAAAUCGGGGCGAGGUGAUGGCAGGGUUGGGGGAGGGGGGCAGCUGGGAAGACCAACGGUGGGCACUCCAGGAGGGUGGGGUUCCUGUGUCCCAUUUUUUUAGCUCCUGCUCUUGAGUCCAGAGCCAAAUUCAUCAUCCUCCUCCCAGCCUGCUUCUGCUCUACAGUUACCCCUGCCCAGCCCCAGCCCCAGUACAGCCAACUCUUCGCUUCUGUGCUCCCUUUUUCUCCAAAUGCGCCUCCCAAAAACAAUCUUCCAGGUGUUCAAGAUGGAAACACCCAUUGUCAAGGUUAACAACAGCAGUAGUAAUAACAGCUCCCCUCCCCAAGCACGCACAGGCCGAAGGGUGAACAGGCACGGUGCCAGGUGUUUUGGACAAUCAUGUCCUUUCAUUCUCACACCGCUGAACUGGUAGAUGUGACUUUGCUGCCAGUUUGCAGAGAAGGAAAUUGAGGCUCAGAGAAGAGCCUCCCUGUGAGGCAGAGCUGGGGAUUUGCACCCAGGCCCACCUGGCUCCAGAGCUGGCUCCCCAUCACCUAGGGGGGCCCUUCUCACAGCACCUACAACUCCCGGCCUUCUUCUCUCACCUGGUGAUGAGUCUUUUUUUUGUUGUUUUAUUUGUAUUUAUUUUAUUAUUUUGAGAUGGAGUCUCGCUCUUUUGUCCAGACUGGAGUGCAGUGGCAUGAUCUCAGCUCACUGCAACCUCAUCUCCCAGGUUCAAGCGAUCCUCCUGCCUCAGCCUCCUGAGUAGCUGGGAUUACAGGCACCCGCCACCACAUCUGGCUAAUUUUUGUAUUUUUAGUACAGAUGGGGUUUCACCAUGUUGGCCAGGCUGGUCUCGAACUCCUGACCUCUGGUGAUCCGCCCGCCUCAGCCUCCCAAAGUACUGGGAUUAUAGGCGUGAGCCACUGUGCCUGGCCGUGUCUUUUAGAUCUUUCCUCCCCUACACCACCCUCCCGCUUCCCCAGCCCCAGCCCCAGCCCAGGCUCUCGGACUCUCCUGGGACAGUGCCAUGGUCUGCCCUGGUCCCCUAGCCUCUUUGCUCUACCCACUCAGUCACUGUCCAGCAGAGGCUUGUCCUGGCUGGGAGGGUGCAGAGCCCAGUCUCUGCUCAUCAUUGCUCCAGAGCUGGGCCACAUAGGACAAAUGGCUUCACUCCCAGGGCUCCAGUCACCCCAUCUAUACAAUGGAGGAAACUCGUCCCCCCGCAACACCAGGUCCAUGGAAUUCACCUGCUCCUACUUUGCUCAAAGGUGCCACAUAUGCUGGUAAUAGCCUUGACCAGCCCUGAGGAGCCCCCGCGAGGCUAACAGUGAAAGUUGCCACUUUGGAAAGCAGAGAGACUCACUUCCAGCACAGCCUCUGAUGUAGGGGAUGGGGGCAGGUGAGGGUGGCAGGAGCUGGGGCGUGCUCAGAGGGCAGGAGCGGCCAGCUUGCCGGGAGCAGGCACUGGCAGAGGCUGCACCAGAUGGCUCUGGCUGUCCCCGCUCCUCAUUAAAGCAGCCGCCCGAGGGCUGCUGCCCACCUGAAAUGCAGAGGUAGCUCACCCAGCCCUGCUGAGGGUACUGUGCCCAGCCAAGCUGCUGUCCUUAGAUACUUGGCCUGCUCAGCUGUGCCCUGGAGGCCCCUAACUGAGGUCUGAAAGCCAGAGGCCAGUGAGGGCAGGACUGGAUACAGCCUCCUCUCUGCAUGGAUGGGAUGUUGACUGAAACCCAGAGAAGACCAGAGACACCGUAGCUCUCCCUCGACUCACACAGCAAAUGUCUUGAGACCCGGAAACAGCAGCGCCAUGCCAAACCCACCCCUGGAACACUGACCUGUCUGCAUCUUCCAGCACCCCAAACCUGGGUGAGGUGUGUGGGGGCAGAAGAGGGGUCUCCGUGAUGUAACUAUGCCCUUUGUAAUAGAUGUAUAUGAUUUUUUAAAACUCAAGCAGUGUAAAAGAAAGCAGAUAAGUGAUCUUCCCGC